GGCUUUAGCUUAAUUAAAGUGUUUGAGUUGCAUUCAGGAGAUGUAAUAUAGAGUUUUACAGGCCUU
This 66-nucleotide transfer RNA is filed under the name Heteronotia binoei (common prickly gecko). RNAcentral describes it as "tRNA-Ala". The record is from RNAcentral. Lineage: Eukaryota; Metazoa; Chordata; Lepidosauria; Squamata; Gekkonidae.